Molecule: ribosomal RNA, 1039 nt
Filed under: Brasilonema wernerae BLCC-T49
Lineage: Bacteria; Bacillati; Cyanobacteriota; Cyanophyceae; Nostocales; Scytonemataceae
Also listed under: 1 other name
Description: bacterial SSU rRNA
Rfam family: Bacterial small subunit ribosomal RNA
Source: RNAcentral
UUUUCUCAGGGAAUAAGUACUGAAGGUACCUGAGGAAUCAGCAUCGGCUAACUCCGUGCCAGCAGCCGCGGUAAUACGGAGGAUGCAAGCGUCAUCCGGAAUGAUUGGGCGUAAAGCGUCCGCAGGUGGUUUUUCAAGUCUGCUGUCAAAGAGUUUGGCUUAACCAGAUAAAGGCAGUGGAAACUGAGAGACUAGAGUAUGGUAGGGGUAGAGGGAAUUCCUGGUGUAGCGGUGAAAUGCGUAGAGAUCAGGAAGAACACCGGUGGCGAAAGCGCUCUGCUGGACCAAAACUGACACUGAGGGACGAGAGCUAGGGGAGCGAAUGGGAUUAGAUACCCCAGUAGUCCUAGCCGUAAACGAUGGAUACUAGGCGUUGCCCGUAUCGACCCGGGCAGUGUCGUAGCCAACGCGUUAAGUAUCCCGCCUGGGGAGUACGCACGCAAGUGUGAAACUCAAAGGAAUUGACGGGGGCCCGCACAAGCGGUGGAGUAUGUGGUUUAAUUCGAUGCAACGCGAAGAACCUUACCAGGGCUUGACAUGUCCGGAAUCUUCUGGAAACGAGAGAGUGCCUACGGGAGCCGGAACACAGGUGGUGCAUGGCUGUCGUCAGCUCGUGUCGUGAGAUGUUGGGUUAAGUCCCGCAACGAGCGCAACCCUCGUUCUUAGUUGCCAGCACUUCGGGUGGGCACUCUAGGGAGACUGCCGGUGACAAACCGGAGGAAGGUGGGGAUGACGUCAAGUCAGCAUGCCCCUUACGUCCUGGGCUACACACCUACUACAAUGCUGUGGACAAAGGGCAGCAAGCUAGCAAUAGCAAGCAAAUCCCAUAAACCACGGCUCAGUUCAGAUCGCAGGCUGCAACUCGCCUGCGUGAAGGAGGAAUCGCUAGUAAUUGCAGGUCAGCAUACUGCAGUGAAUUCGUUCCCGGGCCUUGUACACACCGCCCGUCACACCAUGGAAGCUGGUCACGCCCGAAGUCGUUACCCUAACCUUUCGAGGAGGGGGACGCCGAAGGUAGGACUGGUGACUGGGGUGAAGU